UAGUCAUAUGCUUGUCUCAAAGAUUAAGCCAUGCAUGUCUAAGUUCAAGCGAAAAUAAAGUGAAACCGCGAAUGGCUCAUUACAUCAGUUAUGGUUCCUUAGAUCGCACUUACUACUUGGAUAACUGUGGUAAUUCUAGAGCUAAUACAUGCAUUGAGUCCAAACCUCUGGAAUGGACGCUUUUAUUAGAUCAAAGCCAAUCGGGCUUCGGCUCGUUUUUUGGUGACUCUGAAUAACUUUGCUGAUCGCAUGGUCUCGUACCGGCGACGUAUCUUUCAAGUGUCUGCCUUAUCAACUUUCGAUGGUAGGUUAUGCGCCUACCAUGGUUGUAACGGGUAACGGGGAAUUAGGGUUCGAUUCCGGAGAGGGAGCCUGAGAAACGGCUACCACAUCCAAGGAAGGCAGCAGGCGCGCAAAUUACCCACUCCCAGCACGGGGAGGUAGUGACGAAAAAUAACGAUGCUAAACUCAUACGAGGCUUAGCAAUCGGAAUGAGUACACUUUAAAUCCUUUAACGAGGAUCUAUU
RNAcentral lists this ribosomal RNA (527 nucleotides) under uncultured eukaryote. Its description in RNAcentral is "SSU rRNA". It matches the Rfam family "Eukaryotic small subunit ribosomal RNA", at positions 21 to 549 of the family's 1831-position model. The record is from RNAcentral.